Molecule: ribosomal RNA, 385 nt
Filed under: uncultured bacterium
Lineage: Bacteria
Description: bacterial SSU rRNA
Rfam family: Bacterial small subunit ribosomal RNA
Source: RNAcentral
AUUGAACGCUGGCGGCAUGCCUUACACAUGCAAGUCGAACGGCAGCGGACCUUCGGGUGCCGGCGAGUGGCGAACGGGUGAGUAAUAUAUCGGAACGUACCUUUCAGUGGGGGAUAACGUAGCGAAAGUUACGCUAAUACCGCAUAUUCUGUGAGCAGGAAAGCAGGGGAUCGCAAGACCUUGCGCUGAUUGAGCGGCCGAUAUCAGAUUAGCUAGUUGGUGAGGUAAAGGCUCACCAAGGCGACGAUCUGUAGCGGGUCUGAGAGGAUGAUCCGCCACACUGGAACUGAGACACGGUCCAGACUCCUACGGGAGGCAGCAGUGGGGAAUUUUGGACAAGUGGGGGCAACCCUGAUCCAGCCAUGCCGCGUGAGUGAAGAAGGCC